AUCACCUCAACACCAACACCACCACCACCACCACCGUCAUCAUCACCAUCAUCACCACCAUCACCAUCACAACCAUCACCAUCACCUCAACACCAACACCAUCAUCACCACCAUCACCAUCACAACCAUCACCAUCACCUCAACACCAACACCAUCACCACCAUCACCAUCACAACCAUCACCAUCACCUCAACACCAACACCAUCAUCACCACCAUCAUUG
RNAcentral lists this long non-coding RNA (222 nucleotides) under Homo sapiens (human). RNAcentral's name for it is "HSALNT0331249". The record is from RNAcentral. Lineage: Eukaryota; Metazoa; Chordata; Mammalia; Primates; Hominidae.